UGGGGAAUAUUGCACAAUGGAGGGAACUCUGAUGCAGCGACGCCGCGGGAACGAAGAAGGCUUUCGAGUCGUAAAGUUCUUUUAUAUGGGAAGAUAAUGACGGUACCAUAAGAAAAAGCCCCGGCUAACUACGUGCCAGCAGCCGCGGUAAUACGUAGGGGGCUAGCGUUGUCCGGAAUCACUGGGCGUAAAGGGUUCGCAGGCGGAAAUGCAAGUCAGGUGUAAAAGGCAGUAGCUUAACUACUGUAAGCAUUUGAAACUGCAUAUCUUGAGAAGAGUAGAGGUAAGUUGAAUUUUUAGUGUAGCGGUGAAAUGCGUAGAUAUUAAAAAGAAUACCGGUGGCGAAGGCGACUUACUGGGCUCAUUCUGACGCUGAGGAACGAAAGCGUGGGUAGCAAACAGG
RNAcentral lists this ribosomal RNA (403 nucleotides) under Fusobacteriota bacterium. Its description in RNAcentral is "Fusobacteria bacterium partial 16S ribosomal RNA". It matches the Rfam family "Bacterial small subunit ribosomal RNA", at positions 355 to 776 of the family's 1533-position model. The record is from RNAcentral. Lineage: Bacteria; Fusobacteriati; Fusobacteriota.